This 256-nucleotide ribosomal RNA is filed under the name uncultured microorganism. RNAcentral describes it as "partial 16S ribosomal RNA". It matches the Rfam family "Bacterial small subunit ribosomal RNA", at positions 9 to 261 of the family's 1533-position model. The record is from RNAcentral.
GAGUUUGAUCGUGGCUCAGAUUGAACGCUGGCGGUAUGCUUAACACAUGCAAGUCGGACGGUAACAGGAGAGAGCUUGCUCUUUUGCUGACGAGUGGCGGACGGGUGAGUAAUGCGUAGGAAUCUGCCUAGUAGUGGGGGACAACGUGUGGAAACGCACGCUAAUACCGCAUACGCCCUACGGGGAAGGACGGGGAGUCUUCGGACCUCGCGCUAUUAGAUGAGCCUACGUUAGAUUAGCUAGUUGGUGGGGUAAA